UACGGGAGGCAGCAGUGGGGAAUAUUGCACAAUGGGCGCAAGCCUGAUGCAGCGAUGCCGCGUGAGGGAAGAAGGUUUUCGGAUUGUAAACCUCUGUCAUCGGGGACGAAAAUGACGGUACCCGAGAAGGAAGCUCCGGCUAACUACGUGCCAGCAGCCGCGGUAAU
RNAcentral lists this ribosomal RNA (167 nucleotides) under uncultured rumen bacterium. Its description in RNAcentral is "partial 16S ribosomal RNA". It matches the Rfam family "Bacterial small subunit ribosomal RNA", at positions 340 to 524 of the family's 1533-position model. The record is from RNAcentral.